RNAcentral lists this ribosomal RNA (406 nucleotides) under uncultured bacterium. RNAcentral's name for it is "partial 16S ribosomal RNA". It matches the Rfam family "Bacterial small subunit ribosomal RNA", at positions 30 to 526 of the family's 1533-position model. The record is from RNAcentral.
AUUGAACGCUGGCGGCAUGCCUAACACAUGCAAGUCGAACGAGUGGCGGAUGGGUGAGUAAUGUCGGGGAAACUGCCUGAUGGAGGGGGUAAACUACUGGAAACGGGCGCUAAUACCGCAUACUAUCAGAUGAGCCUAGGUCGGAUUAGCUAGUUGGUGGGGUAACGGCCUACCAGGGCAACGAUCCCUAGCUGGUCUGAGAGGAUGACCGGCCACACUGGAACUGAGACACGGUCCAGACUCCUACGGGAGGCAGCAGUGGGGAAUAGUGCACAAUGGGCGCAAGCCUGAUGCAGCCAUGCCGCGUGUAUGAAGAAGGCCUUCGGGUUGUAAAGUACUGUCAGCGGGGAGGCGUUACCCGAAGAUGAAGCACCGGCUAACUCCGUGCCAGCAGCCGCGGUAAUAC